Molecule: small nuclear RNA, 129 nt
Filed under: Meriones unguiculatus (Mongolian gerbil)
Lineage: Eukaryota; Metazoa; Chordata; Mammalia; Rodentia; Muridae
Description: U1 spliceosomal RNA (ENSMUGG00000001947.1)
Rfam family: U1 spliceosomal RNA
About the family: U1 is a small nuclear RNA (snRNA) component of the spliceosome (involved in pre-mRNA splicing). Its 5' end forms complementary base pairs with the 5' splice junction, thus defining the 5' donor site of an intron.
Source: RNAcentral
AUACUUAGCUGGCAGGGGAGAUACCAUGACCACAAAGGUGUUUUUCUCAGGGCGAAGCUAAUCCACUGUACUCCAGAUGUGCUAACUCCUGCAUUUCCUCAUUUAGACCUAAAGGUAGCAGUCACCUUU